This 386-nucleotide ribosomal RNA is filed under the name uncultured bacterium. RNAcentral describes it as "partial 16S ribosomal RNA". It matches the Rfam family "Bacterial small subunit ribosomal RNA", at positions 523 to 918 of the family's 1533-position model. The record is from RNAcentral.
AUACGUAGGGGGCGAGCGUCAUCCGGAUUUAUUGGGCGUAAAGCGUGUGUAGGCGGUUUGUUAAGUUUAAGAUUAAAGCCCGAGGCUUAACCUCGGCUCGUCUUAAAAACUGGCAGACUUGAGUGCAGUAGAGGCAAGUGGAAUUUCUAGUGUUGCGGUUAAAUGCGUAGAUAUUAGAAGGAACACCAGUGGCGAAGGCGGCUUGCUGGGCUGUUACUGACGCUGAGACACGAAAGCGUGGGGAGCAAAUAGGAUUAGAUACCCUAGUAGUCCACGCCGUAAACGAUGAGUACUAAGUGUCGGGUAACCGGUGCUGAAGUUAACACAUUAAGUACUCCGCCUGAGUAGUACGGUCGCAAGGCUGAAACUCAAAUGAAUUGACGGGG